Molecule: non-coding RNA, 81 nt
Organism: Kockovaella imperatae
Lineage: Eukaryota; Fungi; Basidiomycota; Tremellomycetes; Tremellales; Cuniculitremaceae
Source: the annotation of a RefSeq genome assembly
UCUUCGCUGGUCCAAUGGUUAGGAUUUCCGCUUUUCAGACAUUGAGCGCGGACGGUCGGAGUUCGAUUCUCCGGCGGAGAA